Molecule: ribosomal RNA, 470 nt
Filed under: uncultured bacterium
Lineage: Bacteria
Description: partial 16S ribosomal RNA
Rfam family: Bacterial small subunit ribosomal RNA
Source: RNAcentral
AUUGAACGCUGGCGGCAGGCCUAACACAUGCAAUUAGAACGAGUGUCGGACGGGUGAGUAAUGUCUGGGAAACUGCCUGAUGGAGGGGGAUAACUACUGGAAACGGUAGCUAAUACCGCAUACCAUCAGAUGUGCCCAGAUGGGAUUGCUUGUUGGUGGGGUAACGGCUCACCAGUCGACGAUCCCUAGCUGUCUGAGUGGAUGACCUUGUUUGGGGCGAAACGGCUCACAAGGGCGACGAUCCCUAUCUGGACUGAGAGGAUGACAAGCCACACGGGAACUGAAAAGGCAGCAGUGGGGAAUAUUGCACAAUGGGCGCAAGCCUGAUGCAGACGUGCCGCGUGUAUGAAGAAGGCCUUCGGGUUGUAAAGUACUUUCAGCGGGGAGGAAGGUGUUGUGUUAAUAACCGCAGCAAUUGACGUUACCCGCAGAAGAAGCGCCGGUAACUCUGCCAGCAGCCGCGGUAAUUC